CGGGGAGAGGCGGGGCUACAGGUGGGGGUGGGGCUAAAAGCCAAGGGGCGGGGCUAAGGUUGGAGGGGCGUGGCUACGGACGGGGGCGGGGCUACGAACGGUGAGGGCGGGACUAAGGUUAGAGUGGGCGUGGCUACGGGCAGGGGCGUGGCUACGGGUCCCAUUUAUGGCUCCCACAUUUAUGGGUCGCACAGUGCUGUGCCCCACACUUAUGGGUCCCACACUUAUGGGUCCCACUUAUGGGUCACGCUUACGUGUCCCACUUAUGGGCCCCACACUUAUGGGUCCCACUUAUGAGUCCCACACUUAUGGGUCCCACAGUCUCACACUUAUGGGUCUCACUUACGUGUCCCACACUUAUGGGUCCCACUUAUGGGUCCCACAUUCCCACACUUAUGGGUCCCACACCUAUGGGUCUCACAUUCCCACACUUACGGGUCCCACACUUACGGGUCCCACACUUAUGGGUCCCACACAUGGGUCCCACAUUCCCACACUUAUGGGUCCCACACUUAUGGGUCCCACAUUCCCACACUUACGGGUCCCACACUUAUGGGUCCCACACCUAUGGGUCCCACAUUCCCACACUUAUGGGUCCCACACUUACGUGUCCCACACUUAUGGGUCCCACACUUACGGGUCCCACACUUAUGGAUCCCACACCUAUGGGUCCCACAUUCCCACACUUAUGGGUCCCACACUUAUGGGUCCCACACUUAUGGGUCCCACACUUACGGGUCCCACACUUAUGGAUCCCACACUUACGGGUCCCACACUUAUGGGUCCCACACUUACGGGUCCCACAUUCCCACACUUACGGGUCCCACACUUAUGGUUCCCACAUUCCUACACUUAUGGGUCCCACACUUAUGGGUCCCACACUUAUGGGUCCCACACUUACGGGUCCCACACUUAUGGGUCCCACACUUAUGGGUCCCAGCCCAUCGCCCCCCAUCCCCCUGGCACCCACAGGUUCUGCACUGCGCGGGCCACCUGCGCUCCUACAGCAGCGGCGGCG
Molecule: long non-coding RNA, 1018 nt
Filed under: Phasianus colchicus (ring-necked pheasant)
Lineage: Eukaryota; Metazoa; Chordata; Aves; Galliformes; Phasianidae
Description: lncRNA (ENSPCLG00000017321.1)
Source: RNAcentral